This 338-nucleotide unclassified non-coding RNA is filed under the name soil metagenome. RNAcentral describes it as "partial contains 5.8S ribosomal RNA, internal transcribed spacer 2, and large subunit ribosomal RNA". The stretch from base 1 to 120 matches the Rfam family "5.8S ribosomal RNA", at positions 35 to 154 of the family's 154-position model. The record is from RNAcentral.
GAUGAAGAACGUAGCGAAAUGCGAUAAGUAGUGUGAAUUGCAGAAUUCAGUGAAUCAUCGAAUCUUUGAACGCGCAUUGCGCCCCUUGGUAUUCCAUGGGGCAUGCCUGUUCGAGCGUCAUCUACACCCUCAAGCUCUGCUUGGUGUUGGGCGUCUGUCCCGCCCCCGCGCGUGGACUCGCCCCAAAUCCAUUGGCAGCGUUCCUUGCCCCCUCUCGCGCAGCACAUUGCGCUUCUCGAGGGCGGCUCCGGGACGCGAUCCAGCAAGAUGACCACCGUCUUUGACCUCGGAUCAGGUAGGGAUACCCGCUGAACUUAAGCAUAUCAAUAAGCGGAGGA